AGUGAACGCUGGCGGUAGGCCUAACACAUGCAAGUCGAACGGCAGCACAGUAAGAGCUUGCUCUUACGGGUGGCGAGUGGCGGACGGGUGAGGAAUACAUCGGAAUCUACUUUUUCGUGGGGGAUAACGUAGGGAAACUUACGCUAAUACCGCAUACGACCUACGGGGGAAAGCAGGGGAUCUUCGGACCUUGCGGGAUUGAAUGAGCCGAUGUCGGAUUAGCUAGUUGGCGGGGUAAAGGCCCACCAAGGCGACGGUCCGUAGCUGGUCUGAGAGGAUGGUCAGCCACACUGGAACUGAGACACGGUCCAGACUCCUACGGGAGGCAGCAGUGGGGAAUAUUGGACCAUGGGCGCAAGCCUGAUCCAGCCAUACCGCGUGGGUGAAGAAGGCCUUCGGGUUGUAAAGCCCUUUUGUUGGGAAAGAAAAGCAGCAGGUUAAUACCCCGCUGUUCUGACGGUACCCAAAGAAUAAGCACCGGCUAACUUCGUG
RNAcentral lists this ribosomal RNA (492 nucleotides) under uncultured bacterium. RNAcentral describes it as "partial 16S ribosomal RNA". It matches the Rfam family "Bacterial small subunit ribosomal RNA", at positions 29 to 507 of the family's 1533-position model. The record is from RNAcentral.